GGGGGGGGUGGAUUUUAUAGGGUAAAGAUUAGUGUGCAUAUUUUUCAUUAAUAUUUUAAAUAUGAUGAAUUUCCAUGUCGGCUCCAUGCCUGGAUAUGCCAUUGUCCGGAGCAAAGGAUCCCAAUUUCAAACUUCACAAAAAAAAAACGAUCUUAUCUAGUUUAUUACAGCAGCCCUCUGUGACUUUCAAUUAUUUGUGUCGUGUCUGAUCUCCGUCAGAUUGGUCAAAAUCCUAAAUUAAUUAGGAAUGAACAGGGCCAGUUAUACCAUAAGGACAUGAAGUGCAACAGGACCACUCAUGGUCUGGAUAGUUCUCUACUUUUGAUAGAUUUAAACAAACAAUAUUGGAAUUCCCCCGUGGUCACAACCAUAAACUGUCAACUCCAUUUGCCUUAUAGAUUAAGAUAGGAUAUUAAUUUAGGUUCAAAUACAGCGUGUUGUAUUUAAUGAGGUUUUAUUCAUAAAGCAAGUAAGGUAAUUAAAUAAAUAAUCACAAUUAUACUCCACUUGAAUGAAGAUUAAAAAUAUAAUUGUUGUAGACAAUUUAAAACAUUAACUCAAUCAGAUUUGUUUACUGGGGAUUUUAGAAUGAAUCAUUUAUUUUUACUAAUGUUUGUAUUGAACUUUUAAGUUCAGAGUAUCUGUUCAGAGUAUCUAUUCAGAAUAUCUGUUCAGAGUAUCUGUUCAAUCUGUUCAGAGUAUCUAUUCAGAGUAUCUGUUCAGAGUAUCUGUUCAGGGUAUCUGUUCAGAGUAUCUGUUCAAUCUGUUCAGAGUAUCUGUUCGGAGUAUCUGUUCGGAGUAUCUGUUCAGAGUAUCUGUUCAGAGUAUCUGUUCAGAGUAUCUGUUCAGAGUAUCUGUUCAGAGUAUCUGUUCAGAGUAUCUGUUCAAUCUGUUCAGAGUAUCUGUUCAGAGUAUCUGUUCAGAGUAUCUGUUCAGAGUAUCUGUUCAAUCUGUUCAGAGUAUCUAUUCAGAGUAUCUGUUCAGAGUAUCUGUUCAGAGUAUCUGUUCAAUCUGUUCAGAGUAUCUAUUCAGAGUAUCUGUUCAGAGUAUCUGUUCAGAGUAUCUGUUCAAUCUGUUCAGAGUAUCUGUUCAGAAUAUCUGUUCAGAGUAUCUGUUCAGAAUAUCUGUUCAGAGUAUCUGUUCAGAGUAUCUGUUCAGAGUAUCUGUUCAAUCUGUUCAGAGUAUCUGUUCAAUCUGUUCAGAGUAUCUGUUCAGAGUAUCUGUUCAAUCUGUUCAGAGUAUCUAUUCAGAGUAUCUGUUCAGAGUAUCUGUUCAGAGUAUCUGUUCAAUCUGUUCAGAGUAUCUGUUCAGAGUAUCUGUUCAGAGUAUCUGUUCAGAGUAUCUGUUCAGAGUAUCUGUUCAGAGUAUCUGUUCAGAGUAUCUGUCACUGACGGCUAACAACCUUAAGAUCCAUGUUUUGUCAAUAUUCAGAAAAAAAUAUGUUUUUCUGUUCUGCAACAUAGGCUUAAACUAUAAGUCAAAACAAAAAUGAUAAUUGUAAAAGUGCAAUGCUUUUUAUGGUAUUUGAUGGAGGUGAAACAAAUGAAUAGGUGUUCCAUUUACAUGCUUUGAUAGCUCAAAAUUCGGUCUAACAAAAUAUAUAUUUCACGUGUCAAAUGAGAGUGUCACUUCUUUCAAGAAUCCCUGAGCAUAUACUGUAAAUAAUAAUAAUAAUAGGGAAGGAGGAUGUGGAGGAGGAUGAUGAGGAGGAGGAUGUGGAGGAGGAGGAGGAGGAGGAGGAGGAGGAUGAGGAGGAUGAGGAGGAUGAGGAGGAGGAGGAUGAGGAGGAGGAGGAGGAGGAUGAGGAGGAGGAGGAGGAGGAGGAGGAGGAGGAUGAGGAGGAUGAGGAGGACAAGGAGGAUGUGGAGGAGAAGUAGGUGGAGGAGGAUGUGGAGGAGGACGAGGACAAGGAGGAUGAGGAGGAGGAGGAGGAUGAGGAGGAAGAGGAGGAGGAGGAGGAGGAGGAUGUGGAGGAGGAGGAGGAUGAGGAGGAAGAGGAGGAGGAGGAGGAGGAGGAUGUGGAGGAGGGGGAUGUGGAGGAGGGGGAUGUGGAGGAAGAUGUGGAGGAGGAGGAGGAUGUGGAGGAGGGGGAUGUGGAGGAGGAGGAGGACAAGGAGGAUGUGGAGGAGAAGUAGGUGGAGGAGGAUGUGGAGGAGGACGAGGACAAGGAGGAUGUGGAGGAGGAGGAUGUGAAGGAGGAGGAUGUGAGGAGGAGGAGGAUGUGGAGGAGGAGGAGGAUGUGAGGAGGAGGAGGAUGUGGAGGAGGAGGAGGAGGAGGAUGUGAAGGAGAGCAGGCAGAGAAGAGGAGAAGGGGAGGAAUAGGAGGAGGAGAGGAGGAUGUGAAGGAGGAGGUGGAUGUGGAGGACGAGGUGGAUGUGGAGGAUGUGAGGAGGAGGAGGAGAGGAGGAUGUAGAGCAGGAGGAGGAGGAAAUCAGUGAUAGUAAUGGCGUUACAUGGGUAAGAUGUGUUUCCAUACAGCGGGUACAGCAAUAAAACACUUCACCAGCAGCUUCAGACCAACCUAAUGCCAUACUAGCACACAUAUAGAGACAUUGCAAGAAAACAAGGUGACACGGAAGAAAGUCUCACAAACAAAGUUUUACUCUAUCCCAACAACCAAUGUUCAAAAGUUAAAUUGUUACACGUUCAAAAACCUCUAAGGUAAAUUAUUUUUUAUUUUUUUUAUGGAGCACAAACACAAUUCAUUAUUUUUUGUUGUCGUCGUUCCAAAAUAUACAGCUGACAUGGCAAAACACCGAACUUUCAGUUUAUGAAAAUACAGUUAGUUGUGUUUGUGUGACAGUGCCGUUUCCGUGGUAAUAGCUUCUAACUGGCUUUUUGAUCAAACACAUUAUGGUCUGAAAUCAACACUGUCACAGCAUAGCAUGGUUCUAUUGUAAAAUAACUGGCCUACUAUAGUAUAUUAAUGUUCCUUCUCUAAAAAAAUACAAUAACACGUGCUAUUCUCUGCAAGAUGAAUGUUAGAUAGCUUGAUUUGAAAGUCUUUAUAGCAAUAUAUUUCUUAAAACCAUGUUCGAAAAUAUUUAAAAUAAGACAAAGAAAGGUGUGGUUUGUCCUAGAAAAGGUCUCCUGGCCACCCUCUAGCCGUGAUCAAAACAUCUGAACAAAAUCACAUUUCUAAAAAUGCAUCACAAAUACAUUUUGUGAGGUUGUUUGCUCUUUCACAUUUUUUUGAGGACAGCCCUGGUUGGUGUGUGAUUGUCAUAUUGGUCAAUUGGACCUGUAAGUCUGAGGAACUCCUUCCUUUCCUUCUGAUUAAUACGCCACAAAGCAUUAAGGACCUCAGUAGAUCUCUGACUGGACCUAUUUCUCAUACAGAUAUGGACAGUAUAUGGAAAGUCAGCAUUGGACAUGUGUCACCGUCCCAGCGGACAAAAUGGAUGUUGAAUGUAAACGUUGUCUUGAAAACAAAUUAACAUGAUAAUAAUAAUAUAAUAAUAUUA
This 3464-nucleotide long non-coding RNA is filed under the name Salmo salar (Atlantic salmon). RNAcentral describes it as "lncRNA (ENSSSAG00000101956.1, ENSSSAG00000109256.1)". Lineage: Eukaryota; Metazoa; Chordata; Actinopteri; Salmoniformes; Salmonidae. The record is from RNAcentral.